Molecule: ribosomal RNA, 253 nt
Filed under: uncultured bacterium
Lineage: Bacteria
Description: partial 16S ribosomal RNA
Rfam family: Bacterial small subunit ribosomal RNA
Source: RNAcentral
UACGUAGGGGGCAAGCGUUGUCCGGAAUUAUUGGGCGUAAAGCGCGCGCAGGCGGUCCUUUAAGUCUGAUGUGAAAGCCCACGGCUCAACCGUGGAGGGUCAUUGGAAACUGGAGGACUUGAGUACAGAAGAGGAAAGCGGAAUUCCGAGUGUAGCGGUGAAAUGCGUAGAGAUGUGGAGGAACACCAGUGGCGAAGGCGGCUUUCUGGUCUGUAACUGACGCUGAGGCGCGAAAGCGUGGGGAGCAAACAGG